Molecule: long non-coding RNA, 1047 nt
Filed under: Homo sapiens (human)
Lineage: Eukaryota; Metazoa; Chordata; Mammalia; Primates; Hominidae
Description: HSALNT0085213
Source: RNAcentral
AAUGAAAACCCAUGUCCCCAUCAUGUGGGUUCAAUAAUUACAAACUCAUUGCUAAUUUUGGUUUAUCUCUACCUCCAGAGACUUUGCCUCUUAUAAUAUCUGAAGUAAGCCACAGAUGUCAUUUCUUCUACAAAUAUAUUAGUUCACAUCACUAAAAGCUUCAAAGGGUACGAGCAUAGAUUGCUACAUGGAUAUAUUACACAGUGGUGGAGUCUGAGAUGUCUUCUCAAGAAAAGCAAAAAAAUAUAUAAAGGAUACUCUUCAUCAGAACAAUUCUUUUUAUGAAUAAUUUCAUUUACUUGCAAUAACCAAUUAUUAGGAAAUCCCUUUCCAGUGAGUAAACUCUGUCUAGAAAUAAUCUAAGAUUAAUUCAUAAAUGCUUUGAUUGUUUUUCUUCCCUAAUGGCGUGAUACCAUGACAUACAUAAACCUAUGACUAUAUAUAUAAUAUAUUGACUAUAUAUAUACAUAUAUAUAGACAUUGCACUGCACAAAUGGCAAUAAGAAGCUAAUCGCUUUUGUCUUUUUUAAAUUAUAAAUAUUGAAAAAUCAUAAAGUUAUGGCAAACUAUGUAUAAGGCAAUGCAAAAGUAAUUUCAGUUUUUGCCAUUGCUUUUGCACCACCUAAUUAUUUUUGCACCACCUAAUAUAUAGUCUUCAUAUAGUCUCUUUUUAUAUAUAGUCAUAGCUUCAUGCAUGUCUAUAUGUAUAUAAAGUGUGCACACACACAUGCACGUGUGGUUUGUAUUUGUACAUACUAAUCUGAAUUUUAAAAGUUACACUUAACUUAUAAUCAUAACUACAUAUUGUUACCUUCAAAAAGAAAAUGUCAUCAUAGUGAUGACUAGUAAUUGUGUAUGAGAGAAUUAAGUGUAAUUGCUUCCAAACUGCAUAUUACAAAGACAUUUUGAGGUCUCAUUUACACUUGAUUGUUAGGAUAGUGUUAAAUUUUUAGAAUUUAUUUUUCUUCUGCUGGACCCUGUUUGAUAAUGAUGGUACAUUAUAUUUAACUGCCUUUCUGAAAACACCAAGUAAUAGGCAAGUAUAUA